This 421-nucleotide ribosomal RNA is filed under the name Fusobacteriota bacterium. RNAcentral's name for it is "Fusobacteria bacterium partial 16S ribosomal RNA". It matches the Rfam family "Bacterial small subunit ribosomal RNA", at positions 355 to 776 of the family's 1533-position model. The record is from RNAcentral. Lineage: Bacteria; Fusobacteriati; Fusobacteriota.
UGGGGAAUUUUGCACAAUGGGGGGAACCUUGAUGCAGCGACGCCGCGUGAGGGAUGGAGGCCUUCGGGUUGUGAACCUCUUUCGCUCGUGUGCAAGCCGCUAUUUGGGUAGUGGUGAGUGUAGCGGGUAAAGAAGCGCCGGCUAACUACGUGCCAGCAGCCGCGGUAAUACGUAGGGCGCGAGCGUUGUCCGGAUUUAUUGGGCGUAAAGGGCUUGUAGGCGGUUUGUCGCGCCUGUCGUGUAAUCCUCUGGCUUAACUGGGGGUGUGCGGUGGGUACGGGCAAGCUUGAGUGCGGUAGGGGAGAUUGGAAUUCCUGGUGUAGCGGUGGAAUGCGCAGAUAUCGGGAGGAAAACCGGUGGCGAAGGCGGGUCUCUGGGCCGUUACUGACGCUGAGGAGCGAAAGCGUGGGGAGCGAACAGG